CUAAGAAUAUUCCGCAAUGGACGGAAGUCUGACGGAGCGACGCCGCGUGGAUGACGAAGGCCGAAAGGUUGUAAAGUUCUUUUGCUGGGGAAGAAUAACCGCAGGAGGGAAUGCCUGUGGGAUGACAAGAACCGGCGAAUAAGCCCCGGCCAACUACGUGCCAGCAGCCGCGGUAACACGUAGGGGGGCGAGCGUUGUUCGGAAUUACUGGGCGUAAAGGGCAUGUAGGCGGCUUGGAAAGCCUGGCGUGAAAGUCUGCAGCUUAACUGCAGGGGUGCGCUGGGAACUGCUGAGCUUGAGUGACGGAGAGGGAGCUGGAAUUCCUGGUGUAGGGGGUGAAAUCUGUAGAUAUCAGGAAGAACACCGAUGGCGAAGGCAAGCUCCUGGCCGAUGACUGACGCUGAGGUGCGAAAGUGUGGGGGAUCAAAACAGGAUUAGAUACCCUGGUAGUCCACACAGUCAACGAUGUGCACUAGGUGCUGGGGCGGUAGCUUCGGUGCCGGAGCGAACGUGGUGAGUGCACCGCCUGGGGAGUAUGCCGCAAGGGUGAAACUUAAAUGAAUUGAC
Molecule: ribosomal RNA, 567 nt
Filed under: uncultured bacterium
Lineage: Bacteria
Description: partial 16S ribosomal RNA
Rfam family: Bacterial small subunit ribosomal RNA
Source: RNAcentral